UACGGGGGGAGCAAGCGUUGUUCGGAUUUAUUGGGCGUAAAGAGCGUGUAGGCGGCCAGGUAGGUCUGCUGUGAAAACUCGAGGCUCAACCUCGAGACGUCGGCGGAAACCAUCUGGCUAGAGUCCGGAAGAGGAGAGUGGAAUUCCUGGUGUAGCGGUGAAAUGCGCAGAUAUCAGGAAGAACACCCGUGGCGAAGGCGGCUCUCUGGGACGGUACUGACGCUGAGACGCGAAAGCGUGGGGAGCAAACAGG
Molecule: ribosomal RNA, 253 nt
Filed under: uncultured bacterium
Lineage: Bacteria
Description: partial 16S ribosomal RNA
Rfam family: Bacterial small subunit ribosomal RNA
Source: RNAcentral